This 207-nucleotide ribosomal RNA is filed under the name uncultured bacterium. Its description in RNAcentral is "partial 16S ribosomal RNA". It matches the Rfam family "Bacterial small subunit ribosomal RNA", at positions 568 to 774 of the family's 1533-position model. The record is from RNAcentral.
UGUGUAGGCGGUUCUUUAAGUUUGCUGUGAAAUCUCCCGGCUUAACCGGGAGGGUGCGGUGAAUACUGAGGGACUAGAGUACGGGAGAGGAAAGUGGAAUUCCUGGUGUAGCGGUGAAAUGCAUAGAUAUCAGGAGGAACACCGGUGGUGUAGACGGCUUUCUGGACCGUAACUGACGCUGAAACACGAAAGCGUGGGUAGCAAACA